This 223-nucleotide long non-coding RNA is filed under the name Carica papaya (papaya). Its description in RNAcentral is "long non-coding RNA (CPAP_LNC008338)". The record is from RNAcentral. Lineage: Eukaryota; Viridiplantae; Streptophyta; Magnoliopsida; Brassicales; Caricaceae.
CCGCACAUGUGCGCAAACCCAGGAUCACACGCUCCAUCCAUGUACGCGUGACCCGCGAUCCGGGAUUCCCACUUGGUCGCCCAUGUGGACGAGGCCGCGGAUAGGCCAACUAGCCCAAGCCCACCAACCCGCACCUUCCAUAGACCUUUUAUCGUGCAGCCCGCAUAGACUGGCCAGCCCCACCCAUAUAGGUGACCCAAACCCAACCACCUUUUACCCUUUU